RNAcentral lists this ribosomal RNA (266 nucleotides) under uncultured archaeon. Its description in RNAcentral is "partial 16S ribosomal RNA". It matches the Rfam family "Archaeal small subunit ribosomal RNA", at positions 748 to 1009 of the family's 1478-position model. The record is from RNAcentral.
UAGCCGUAAACGAUACUCGCUAGGUGUCGGCCACGGUGCGACCGUUGUCGGUGCCGUAGGGAAGCCGUGAAGCGAGCCACCUGGGAAGUACGGCCGCAAGGCUGAAACUUAAAGGAAUUGGCGGGGGAGGCACCACAACGGGUGGAGCUUGCGGUUUAAUUUGGAUUCAACGCCGGAAUACUUACCGGGACCGGACAGCAACAUGAAGGCCAGGCUGAAGGACUUUGUCCGGAUUAGCUGAGAGGAGGUGCAUGGCGUAGUCGUGU